This 381-nucleotide ribosomal RNA is filed under the name uncultured Pseudomonas sp. RNAcentral's name for it is "bacterial SSU rRNA". It matches the Rfam family "Bacterial small subunit ribosomal RNA", at positions 1000 to 1382 of the family's 1533-position model. Lineage: Bacteria; Pseudomonadati; Pseudomonadota; Gammaproteobacteria; Pseudomonadales; Pseudomonadaceae. The record is from RNAcentral.
GGUGAAAGCUUACAUCUCUUCGGAGCAUUUUACGAGGUGCUGCAUGGUUGUCGUCAGCUCGUGCCGUGAGAUGUUGGGUUAAGUCCCGUAACGAGCGCAACCCUUGUCCUUAGUUACCAGCACGUUAUGGUGGGCACUCUAAGGAGACUGCCGGUGACAAACCGGAGGAAGGUGGGGAUGACGUCAAGUCAUCAUGGCCCUUACGGCCUGGGCUACACACGUGCUACAAUGGUCGGUACAAAGGGUUGCCAAGCCGCGAGGUGGAGCUAAUCCCAUAAAACCGAUCGUAGUCCGGAUCGCAGUCUGCAACUCGACUGCGUGAAGUCGGAAUCGCUAGUAAUCGUGAAUCAGAAUGUCACGGUGAAUACGUUCCCGGGCCUU